UACGAAGGGAGCUAGCGUUGUUCGGAAUCACUGGGCGUAAAGCGCACGUAGGCGGAUGUGUCAGUCAGGGGUGAAAUCCCGGAGCUCAACUUCGGAACUGCCCUUGAUACAGCACAUCUGGAGUCCGGAAGAGGUGGGUGGAAUUCCUAGUGUAGAGGCGAAAUUCGUAGAUAUUAGGAAGAACACCGGUGGCGAAGGCGGCCCACUGGUCCGGUACUGACGCUGAGGUGCGAAAGCCAGGGGAGCAAACGGG
Molecule: ribosomal RNA, 253 nt
Filed under: uncultured bacterium
Lineage: Bacteria
Description: partial 16S ribosomal RNA
Rfam family: Bacterial small subunit ribosomal RNA
Source: RNAcentral